Molecule: ribosomal RNA, 403 nt
Filed under: Verrucomicrobiota bacterium
Lineage: Bacteria; Pseudomonadati; Verrucomicrobiota
Description: Verrucomicrobia bacterium partial 16S ribosomal RNA
Rfam family: Bacterial small subunit ribosomal RNA
Source: RNAcentral
UGGGGAAUAUUGCACAAUGGGGGAAACCCUGAUGCAGCGACGCCGCGUGAGCGAAGAAGGCUUUCGAGUCGUAAAGCUCUGUCCUAUGAGAAGAUAAUGACGGUAUCAUAGGAGGAAGCCCUGGCUAAAUACGUGCCAGCAGCCGCGGUAAUACGUAUGGGGCGAGCGUUGUCCGGAAUUAUUGGGCGUAAAGGGUACGUAGGCGGUUUUUUAAGUCAGGUGUCAAAGCGUGGAGCUUAACUCCAUUAAGCACUUGAAACUGAAAGACUUGAGUGAAGGAGAGGAAAGUGGAAUUCCUAGUGUAGCGGUGAAAUGCGUAGAUAUUAGGAGGAAUACCGGUGGCGAAGGCGACUUUCUGGACUUUUACUGACGCUGAGGCUCGAAAGCGUGGGGAGCGAACAGG